RNA transcript from Phragmites australis (common reed), 2511 nucleotides. RefSeq lists it as uncharacterized. Lineage: Eukaryota; Viridiplantae; Streptophyta; Magnoliopsida; Poales; Poaceae. The record is from RefSeq and is a predicted model, not a curated record. The transcript has 13 exons.
GCCGCACACCUCGAACCCAUGCACCCAAUCCACUGCAAAUGCCCGUCGCUGCCGCCCGCGCAAUCCGCCACCCGAACCUCUCCAUCAUCGCCGACCGCUGCGCCACGCUCGCCGGCCGACCGCGCCUCCACCAAAUCCGAGCUCCUAGUGCCGUCCUCACGCCCGCCGACCGCGCCGCGCCUCCUGACUCUUCGCCUGCCUGGCCGAUCGAGGCCUAGCCCUAGGCAUGCCGCUCGCGGCCGCACUAGAGGGGGUGGAGGCGUCAGGAUCCAGGAGGACUAGGUCGAGCGCGGGGCGGCGGCAGCGGCGGUCGGAGUCGCUGGAACCCGAACCAACUCCUAUGCGCCGCCGCGGCAGCAAGCGGGGCAAGAGGGUGAGCUCUACCACUGCCGCAGCCGUGCCCGUGAUCAAAACCCAUUCAACGGCGGCCAGUUCGUGGCUGCGUUCCAAGGGGAUGAGGAUGAGGAGUGCGGAUGCGGCCGUAAAGGAGCGGAGAAGAAAAAGGAAUAGGGCUGACGAUAAUUGUGAUGAUGAGGAGGGGAGGGAGGAGAAGAAGAGAAAUUUUGGCGAGGAGGCGGUGCCACCUUCAGAUGCAUCAAGGGAGGAAGAAGAAGAGGAAGCAAAGGAGGAGGAGGAAGUCUCCUCUGCACCCAGCUCUCCCCUCUGCGAGCCUGAUAUCCCCGAAGAAGUUAUUGGGCAUGAUUCCAACGGCGUGGAGAUCUACAAGCCUAUCGACUCAGAGACAUCCAGGGCAUAUGAGCAGAGCAUUGCGAAAUUCAGUGAGAAAUUAGCUCGCCAAACGAAACUGCCCACGCUUGAUCAGAGCAGACCUAGCACUUGCCUUGUCGAGCCGAAAUUGCUUCACGUUUGCCAAUCUGCUACAAGGACCGUCGUUCGUGCCGGAAAAUUUGUUUUUGCCCUUUCAUCCUCAGUUGGUGGUAAGCCGUUAACUCAGUGUACAGGCUUCUUGAUUGAUUGGGAUCAGAAGGGUGAGACUGGCAUUAUACUGACAUCCGCCCAUCUAAUUCGCUCAAAAGACCCAUCCUUGGACAGCUGGUUGUGCAAAGAUGAGUAUACACCUGAUGCUCAGGUUACUAUUCACUUUCUAGAUAAGACUACUGAAGAGUGCCACCUGCUCUACUACCAAAAACAUUACAAUAUUGCACUAUUCAGGACGAAAGUGAAGUUGUCUGUUGAGUUACCUUCUUUUAAUGACAAUGUAAACUGUGGUCAAGAGGUUUUCAUGAUUGGAAGGGAUGAAAAUUCGAAUCUAAGGAUUAGCUAUGGUCGGGUGCAAUAUUUGAAUCCAAACUUGUAUGAGCGAUACCACUUCAUGUAUGCUUAUGGUGCAGGUGAUGCCCCGAAGUGUGGCAGCGGAGGGCCAGUUAUUGAUUUUGAUGGAAAGGUUGUGGGGAUGUCCAAGGCUAAUAAAAAUGGUUCUUUUGUACCUACUCUCAUUAUACUCAAGUGGUUGCAUUUGUGGAGAAAUUAUGGGUGCAUUCCUCGACCCCACCUUCGAUUGAAGCUUUGGGCCAUCAAAUUUCUUGACCCUACUCAAAUCGAGAUGAUACUGUUCAAGUGUGGCACUGAUGACGGUCUUAUUGUUAAAGAGGUAUCUAAUGGAUCUUUUGCUGAGAAACUUGGAAUCAGAGUUGGAGAUAUUAUUGAAUGUUUGAAUGGAUUAUAUGUUUCUUCAACGGUUGAGUUGGAAAAUAUGUUAUUGCGCUUGUCUGAGGAGCAUCUUGCUAGAAGAAAUGGCCAUGAUUCCAAAAUGGAUGUCGAGAUUGGCAUAUUUUGCACACGGAAAGAAAAGCGAAGAACCAUAAAGAUGGCACUGAAUGUAACUGAUGAGGGAGAAGAAGUUGUUAGAGGUUCUUAUCUUGUUACUACUGGAAAGGGGGUUUCCGCCUCAGUGUUGCUUGAACAAGUGGAUUCAGGUUCUUUUGGUCCCUGUUUCUAGCGGAGAAAGGAAACCUGCUUAGGUCAAAAAAGUUUGCACGUCAGUUGUUGAGUAGGGGUCGAGGAAGGGAUGUAAGUUCUUCAUUCUACUUUGUAAAUAGAUAGUCUCACCAUACACUAGUGGCUGCCUCUGAUCAUUUUAUGAGGUGUUUACUUCUCCAGAGCCCUUUUUGGUGGAUAUUAGUAUCUUCUCCUAUCGUUCUUGGAUUCCCCAGCCAUGGAGAUAUAGAAACAUAUGUAAUAUGCUAUUUGCGAAUCAUGUUGGUGGACAUCAUGCUGCUAUUUGUUAGCUAAGAAUACCUGCUAUGCCAAGCAGCUGCAUCUGUACUUAGGUAUAGUUUAGUUGUUUAUGGCUUUGAUGACGUGGUGCAUGCGUUCCUACGACAGGUGGUCCUUCUUCUAUUUGAUACGGGCUAGUUUACCGACUGCUUUCUGAACACUCCUAUUUAAUUCUCUAUGUUAAAUAAGUAUUCAAAGUGUCAUCCACUACUGUAACUGAAAAAACAGUAAAUUUAUUCUAGUACUGGAAAAAGUUAUCAUGUAAUAGGAAAA